AUUAUUAUUUAACCAAAUAAACUAAACUGUGUGAGUUAAUUCUAAUAAUUUAAAAAGUUUGAGUUGGAAAACAUAACAAAUUAAAGUUAGAGGACUAAAAUGUCACUCUGCUCAAAAUUUUAGGACUAAGAGUGCAAUUUAGGCCAAAGUGGGUGAAGUAUAGUGAAGAAGUGGAUUUGGUGAGGUCCAUGUUGGGUUCUGAGGGCGUCGGAACGAUUAGAAAAAGUAUCGAUAAAACUUGAAGAAAGUUAGGAGUAAAUAAAAAUUUUUCAAAAAAUGGUUGUACUUCAAAAUAUAAUUGUGUUUAUAUGAAAAAACUAUAAUUCUCUAAAGUUUGGCAGUGUUUCACAUAUGUAGAGGAGUUUUGGUUGUGUUGCAUUUGAUUUGGAGAGAAAACGGAAUGAAAAUCGGAGUUUUAGAGCGAAAAUGAGAAGAAAAUAGAAAGGCUGAAAACACUGUUCACAGUGUUAGGGUUCGGACCCUGUGGCAAGAUCCGGACAUUGACUGUGAAAAUGCUCGAAAUGAAGUACGGGUUCCGGACCUU
RNAcentral lists this long non-coding RNA (544 nucleotides) under Ananas comosus (pineapple). RNAcentral's name for it is "long non-coding RNA (ACOM_LNC032595)". The record is from RNAcentral. Lineage: Eukaryota; Viridiplantae; Streptophyta; Magnoliopsida; Poales; Bromeliaceae.